CUACGGGUCGCUGCAGUGGGGAAUUUUGGACAAUGGGGGAAACCCUGAUCCAGCCAUGCCGCGUGCGGGAUGAAGGCCUUCGGGUUGUAAACCGCUUUCAGAUGGAAAGAAAUUGCCACUUCUAAUACAGGUGGUAGAUGACGGUACCAUCAGAAGAAGCACCGGCUAACUACGUGCCAGCAGCCGCGGUAAUACGUAGGGUGCGAGCGUUAAUCGGAAUUACUGGGCGUAAAGCGUGCGCAGGCGGUUUCUUAAGCAAGAUGUGAAAUCCCCGGGCUUAACCUGGGAACUGCAUUUUGAACUGGGAGACUAGAGUGUGUCAGAGGGGGGUGGAAUUCCGCGUGUAGCAGUGAAAUGCGUAGAUAUGCGGAGGAACACCGAUGGCGAAGGCAGCCCCCUGGGAUAACACUGACGCUCAUGUACGAAAGCGUGGGGAGCAAACAGGAUUAGAUACCCUAGUAGUC
This 464-nucleotide ribosomal RNA is filed under the name uncultured bacterium. RNAcentral describes it as "partial 16S ribosomal RNA". It matches the Rfam family "Bacterial small subunit ribosomal RNA", at positions 339 to 795 of the family's 1533-position model. The record is from RNAcentral.